GAUGAACGCUGGCGGCGUGCCUAAUACAUGCAAGUCGAGCGAACAGAUGAGGAGCUUGCUCCUCUGACGUUAGCGGCGGACGGGUGAGUAACACGUGGAUAACCUACCUAUAAGACUGGGAUAACUACGGGAAACCGGAGCUAAUACCGGAUAAUAUAUUGAACCGCAUGGUUCAAUAGUGAAAGACGGUUUUGCUGUCACUUAUAGAUGGAUCCGCGCCGCAUUAGCUAGUUGGUAAGGUAACGGCUUACCAAGGCAACGAUGCGUAGCCGACCUGAGAGGGUGAUCGGCCACACUGGAACUGAGACACGGUCCAGACUCCUACGGGAGGCAGCAGUAGGGAAUCUUCCGCAAUCGGCGAAAGCCUGACGGAGCAACGCCGCGUGAGUGAUGAAGGUCUUCGGAUCGUAAAACUCUGUUAUUAGGGAAGAACAAAUGUGUAAGUAACUAUGCACGUCUUGACGGUACCUAAUCAGAAAGCCACGGCUAACUACGUG
This 497-nucleotide ribosomal RNA is filed under the name uncultured bacterium. Its description in RNAcentral is "partial 16S ribosomal RNA". It matches the Rfam family "Bacterial small subunit ribosomal RNA", at positions 28 to 507 of the family's 1533-position model. The record is from RNAcentral.